AGCCGAAACGCGGGCGCGGCCCGCGUCUGCCGGGGAUGGCCUUCCGGCACUGAAGAGGCAGGCCAAA
Molecule: non-coding RNA, 67 nt
Filed under: Ruminococcaceae bacterium OttesenSCG-928-D13
Lineage: Bacteria; Bacillati; Bacillota; Clostridia; Eubacteriales; Oscillospiraceae
Source: RNAcentral